Molecule: ribosomal RNA, 258 nt
Filed under: uncultured bacterium
Lineage: Bacteria
Description: partial 16S ribosomal RNA
Rfam family: Bacterial small subunit ribosomal RNA
Source: RNAcentral
UACGAAGGGUGCAAGCGUUAAUCGGAAUUACUGGGCGUAAAGCGUGCGCAGGCGGUUUUGUAAGCCAGAUGUGAAAUCCCCGGGCUUAACCUGGGAAUGGCAUUUGGGACUGCAAGGCUGGAGUGCGGCAGAGGAGACUGGAAUUCCUGGUGUAGCAGUGAAAUGCGUAGAUAAUCAGGAGGAAUACCGAUGGCGAAGGCAGGUCUCUGGGCUGACACUGACGCUCAUGCACGAAAGCGUGGGGGAGCAAACAGGAUU